Molecule: ribosomal RNA, 332 nt
Filed under: uncultured bacterium
Lineage: Bacteria
Description: bacterial SSU rRNA
Rfam family: Bacterial small subunit ribosomal RNA
Source: RNAcentral
UGCGCAGGAGGCCAGGUGUGUGAGGCGUGAAAGCCCGAUGCUCAACAUCGGAAUUGCACCUCAAACUACAUGGCUAGAGCAUUGGAGAGGGUAGCGGAAUUCACGGUGUAGCAGUGAAAUGCGUAGAUAUCGUGAGGAACACCAGAGGCGAAGGCGGCUACCUGGACAAUUGCUGACUCUCAGGCACGAAAGCGUGGGGAGCAAAAGGGAUUAGAUACCCCUGUAGUCCACGCCCUAAACGGUGCACACUAGGUCUUUGAGGAUUCGACCCCUCAAGGGCCCAAGCUAACGCGUUAAGUGUGCCGCCUGAGGACUACGGCCGCAAGGCUAAA